This 253-nucleotide ribosomal RNA is filed under the name uncultured bacterium. RNAcentral describes it as "partial 16S ribosomal RNA". It matches the Rfam family "Bacterial small subunit ribosomal RNA", at positions 524 to 776 of the family's 1533-position model. The record is from RNAcentral.
UACGUAGGGGGCAAGCGUUGUCCGGAUUUAUUGGGCGUAAAGAGCGUGUAGGCGGCCAUACAGGUCCGUUGUGAAAACUGGAGGCUUAACCUCCAGACGUCGAUGGAAACCGUAUGGCUAGAGUCCGGAAGAGGAGAGUGGAAUUCCUGGUGUAGCGGUGAAAUGCGCAGAUAUCAGGAAGAACACCCGUGGCGAAGGCGGCUCUCUGGGCCAUAACUGACGCUGAGGAGCGAAAGCGUGGGGAGCGAACAGG